AGAAUCAACGCUGGCGGCGUGCCUAACACAUGCAAGUCGAACGAGAAAGGGGUAGCAAUACCCUGAGUAAAGUGGCGCACGGGUUAGUAACACGUGACUAACCUACCCUUGAGUGGGGGAUAACUGAGGGAAACCUUAGCUAAUACCGCAUAAUACCCACGGGUCAAAGGAGCAAUUCGCUCGAGGAGGGGGUCGCGGCCGAUUAGUUAGUUGGCGGGGUAAUGGCCCACCAAGACGAUGAUCGGUAUCC
This 250-nucleotide ribosomal RNA is filed under the name uncultured bacterium. Its description in RNAcentral is "partial small subunit ribosomal RNA". It matches the Rfam family "Bacterial small subunit ribosomal RNA", at positions 26 to 288 of the family's 1533-position model. The record is from RNAcentral.